This 454-nucleotide ribosomal RNA is filed under the name uncultured Levilinea sp. RNAcentral describes it as "bacterial SSU rRNA". It matches the Rfam family "Bacterial small subunit ribosomal RNA", at positions 917 to 1381 of the family's 1533-position model. Lineage: Bacteria; Bacillati; Chloroflexota; Anaerolineae; Anaerolineales; Anaerolineaceae. The record is from RNAcentral.
UGACGGGCCCGCACAAGCAGCGGAGCGUGUGGUUUAAUUCGAUGAUACACGAAGAACCUUACCAGGGUUUGACAUGCUAGUGGUAGGGAUCCGAAAGGUGACCGACCCUCGGGGAGCUAGCACAGGUGCUGCAUGGCUGUCGUCAGCUCGUGUCGUGAGAUGUUCGGUUAAGUCCGCUAACGAGCGCAACCCUUGCUGUGUGUUACAUGUGUCACACGGGACUGCCGGUCUUAAACCGGAGGAAGGUGGGAUGACGUCAAGUCAGCAUGGCCUUUAUGUCCUGGGCUACACACACGCUACAAUGGCCGGUACAAUAGGUUGCGAAGCCGCGAGGCGGAGCCAAUCCUCAAAGCCGGCCUCAGUUCAGAUUGCAGGCUGCAACCCGCCUGCAUGAAGAUGGAGUUGCUAGUAACCGCAGGUCAGCUAUACUGCGGUGAAUACGUUCCCGGGGCUU